UACGUAGGGUGCGAGCGUUGUCCGGAAUUAUUGGGCGUAAAGAGCGUGUAGGCGGCCCGACCAGUCCGCUGUGAAAGUCCAGGGCUCAACCCUGGAAUGCCGGUGGAUACUGUCGGGCUAGAGUCCGGAAUGGGCGAGUGGAAUUCCUGGUGUAGCGGUGAAAUGCGCAGAUAUCAGGAGGAACACCAAUGGCGAAGGCAGCUCGCUGGGACGUGACUGACGCUGAGACGCGAAAGCGUGGGGAGCAAACAGG
Molecule: ribosomal RNA, 253 nt
Filed under: uncultured bacterium
Lineage: Bacteria
Description: partial 16S ribosomal RNA
Rfam family: Bacterial small subunit ribosomal RNA
Source: RNAcentral